Lemur catta (Ring-tailed lemur) is the source of this 1291-nucleotide long non-coding RNA. RefSeq lists it as uncharacterized. The record is from RefSeq and is a predicted model, not a curated record. The transcript is spliced from 3 exons. NCBI's taxonomy places the organism in Eukaryota, Metazoa, Chordata, Mammalia, Primates, Lemuridae.
CUCAGGAAAGGGUGCUGGGCCGCGGACCCUCCCAGGGACUCACUAAAAUGCUCCUGGAUCCGGUUCAGGAUGUUCAUGCUGUGCUUGCUGUCCACCAUGUUCACGGCCAGGCCCCUCUUGCCAAAGCGGCCGGUGCGUCCGAUCCGGUGCAGGUAGGUCUCGUUGUCCGGGUUCCCGUCCUUGUCCACGGGAAGAUCAAAGUUGAUGACGACAGAGACUUGUUCCACGUCGAUGCCUGCGUGAAGGAGAGUGGGAAACACAGAGGACUGAGGACGGCAGACAAAAACCAUCAUUGUCCACAGGUAGGUCAACGCAGAUCAAGUCUGGGUGGAGAGAGAGUCUAGGACAUGCCAACUCUGGGAACUGGGUACAAGAGAGGACAAAUACUGACGUAGCAGAAUCCAGAGAGCAAGAGCAGAACCUUGGCAGGUGCAGUGAAUUAUGGCAGCAGUGAGAAAGCCUCUGGUAGGCACAAGUAUCUGGAGCUGGGUGCCCAGGAAGAGCAGACUCCAUCCUCUACCAGUCAGAUGCCCGUACGUUUCCUUCCACAAGGCAGACUCCUGGCUUCUGUGUAAGUUCUUAUCUUACAAAAUCCAAAUACUCUCUCUUAGAAAGAAAUCUCACCACCAACCCCACGAAUCUCCCACAGACAGAUUUCUAUUAUAUAAACAAGGAUUUCUCUCCCGAACAGGGCCUGGGACCCUGAGCCUAGCAGACCAAAACACACUGUCUGCUCACCGCGGGCACACACAUUGGUGGUCACCAGAACCUUCUCUUUGCCCUCUCGGAAGCGCUCAAUCACUGCAGCCCUCUGCUCCACCAUCAUUUCACCACUCAGCAGAGCCACCUGGUGGCCUUCUUUUGAGAGCUCCGCUGCCAGCCAGCUAGCCGUUUUGCGGGUCUGGAAGAGAGAGAAAUGAAGCCCUUCCAAAGCCAGCUGUGCAGAUGCUCAGGACCCUCAACAGGACUGUCAAAGGUGCUUUCCACUGAAGAUACCAGGAACCCAGUCUCUUUUGACGGAUUUUAUUCUAGAAACAGAUAAGCUGUUCUUAAGACUGUAAACCCUAGAGUCUAACAAAAGGGCUUACCUAAUAAGAAAUGUUCCUGACAUCCAGAAAUCACCUGUCAGCCAAUAUUUUAUUGAAAGUUCUAAGAGCAUAAAAGAAAAAAGACUUUCAGCUAUAAUGAAUAAAUUUGUGGCAUUUAAAAAUUCCUAUCAAGAGGAGAAGAACUGGGUAGCCAAAAGACAAGGGCGGGAGAUUAUUACUGUAAAUUUUUUCAUGCGUUUUGA